UACGGAGGGUGCAAGCGUUGUCCGGAUUUAUUGGGUUUAAAGGGUGCGUAGGCGGCUUUUUAAGUCAGUGGUGAAAUCCAGCAGCUUAACUGUUGAAUUGCCAUUGAUACUGGAGAGCUUGAGUACAGACGAGGUAGGCGGAAUUUAUGGUGUAGCGGUGAAAUGCAUAGAUAUCAUAAAGAACACCGAUUGCGAAGGCGGCUUACUAGGCUGUAACUGACGCUGAGGCACGAAAGUGUGGGGAUCAAACAGG
This 253-nucleotide ribosomal RNA is filed under the name uncultured bacterium. Its description in RNAcentral is "partial 16S ribosomal RNA". It matches the Rfam family "Bacterial small subunit ribosomal RNA", at positions 524 to 776 of the family's 1533-position model. The record is from RNAcentral.